UACGUAGGCAGCAAGCGUUGUUCGGAGUUACUGGGCGUAAAGGGUGUGUAGGCGGCUUCUCAAGUCGGGUGUGAAAUCCCAGGGCUCAACCCUGGAAGUGCAUUCGAAACUGGGUAGCUAGAGUACUGGAGAGGAAGGUGGAAUGCUUGGUGUAGAGGUGAAAUUCGUAGAUAUCAAGCGGAACACCGGUGGCGAAGGCGGCCUUCUGGACAGAUACUGACGCUGAGACACGAAAGCGUGGGGAGCAAACAGG
RNAcentral lists this ribosomal RNA (253 nucleotides) under uncultured bacterium. RNAcentral describes it as "partial 16S ribosomal RNA". It matches the Rfam family "Bacterial small subunit ribosomal RNA", at positions 524 to 776 of the family's 1533-position model. The record is from RNAcentral.